GAAAAAAAUGGCUAAGUCCUGGACUGGGUUCUUUUACACAGAUAAGACGGUGAACCAUUCACCGUCUUUAUGGCAGUACAGAUAAGACGGUAAACCAUUCACCGUCUUAUCUGUAGCCCCACCUUACUCUAAAGACGGCGAAUAGUUCACCGCCUAAUUAAGACGGUGAACCACUCACCGUCUUAUCUGUGUUUUAGCCCCACCACGACUUGGCCAAAUUAGGGCAGGUGGCAAUUUACUCUAAAGACGGCGAAUAGUUCACCGCUUAAUUAAGACGGUGAACCACUCACCGUCUUAUCUGUGUUUUAGGCCCCCUCUCGAGAACUUG
RNAcentral lists this long non-coding RNA (328 nucleotides) under Ananas comosus (pineapple). RNAcentral's name for it is "long non-coding RNA (ACOM_LNC037327)". Lineage: Eukaryota; Viridiplantae; Streptophyta; Magnoliopsida; Poales; Bromeliaceae. The record is from RNAcentral.